UCAAUGGGCACGUAUCUUUAAAUUGUACGGUUAAAGGGUUAUUUCGCAUUUUUUCCCGAUCCGCACACAUUGGAAUUUCGCUAACUCCUCCGAAGGCUUUAGUUCCACCGCCACCAAAUUUGCUCAGGCCAAUCUACACCCCAUGGCCAUCAAAAGUUGUACAAAUCAUGACGCUGCACUCCACGGUUUAGGUUCUAGGGGGCGCCAAAGAUAACCCAAAAAUCCACAUUCUUAAUAGUCUUAUAACUUUUUAUUUUUGUCCUCACUGGCCUCCAAGUUUUCUAGGAUGAUGCAAUGUCCAGCCAUCAACACAUUUGUGAAGGAAUUUU
Non-coding RNA from Xyrichtys novacula (pearly razorfish), 329 nucleotides. NCBI's taxonomy places the organism in Eukaryota, Metazoa, Chordata, Actinopteri, Labriformes, Labridae. The record is from the annotation of a GenBank genome assembly.